CUUGUCUCUUUUAAUUCUCUCAAUAUCCCAAUGAGGCAGAUACUGUUAAUAUCCCUAUUUCACAUAUGAAGAAAUGGAACAUCAACAAGCAAGGCCAAGAGUGGUGGCUCACGCCUGUAAUCCCAGCACUUUGGGAGGCCGAGGCAGGGGGAUUACCUGAGAUAAGGAGUUUGAGACUGGCCUGACCAACAUGGUGAAACCCUGUCUCUACUAAAAAUACAAAAAUUAGCUGAGUAUGGUGGUGGGUGCCUGUAAUCCCAGCUACUUGGAGGCUGAGGCAGGAGAAUCACUUGAACCCAGGAGGUGAGGGCUGCAGUAGCUGAGAUCAUGCCAUUGCACCAUUGCGCUCCAGCCUGUGUAACAUAGACUCUGUCUCAAAAAAAAAAAAAAACCAAAAAUGCAAUGAUGCUCAGAGAGAUUAACUUAACCAAAGUUGCACAGCCAGUGAGCAAAAGAACAAGAAUUUGAAUCCAGUUUUUGACCCCAAAGCUUCUGCUUUUAAGUUGAACUAAGUUUUUAUUUUAAAAUCCUUGCUUUACAAUGAGAUGACCAGGGAAUGUAUCCAAUAUCCCAUCUAGUAGUAUUUUGAGCUGAGUAUAGGUCUUCAUUUUCAAACUUAGAAGAAUGAUAUUGAGGUAAAUGGAAAGCAUGCUCUUUCCCUGUUGGCAUCUGUGAUGGUUCAUAUUGAGUGUCAAUUGAUUGGAUUGAAGGGUGCAAAGUAUUGUUCCUGGGUGUGACUGUGAGGGUGUUGCCAAAGGAGAUUAACAUUUGAGUCAGCGGGCUGGGAGAGCCAGACCCACCUCAGUCUGGGUGGGCACCAUCUAAUCAGCUGCCAGCGCGGCUAGGAUCAAAGCAGGCAGAGGAAUGUGGAAGGACUAGACUGGCUGAGUCUUCUGACCUUCAUCUUUCUCCCAUGCUGGAUGCUUCCUGCCCUGAAACAUUGGACUCCAGGUUCUUCAGCUUUUGGACUCUUGGACUCACACCAAUGAUUUUCCAGGGGCUCUUGGACCUUUGGCCACAGACUGAAGCUGCACUGUGGGCUUCCCUACUUUUGAGGUUUUGGGACUUGGACUGGCUUCGUUGCUCCUCAGCUUGCAGACGGCCUAUUGUGGGACUUCACCUUGUGAUCCUGUGGUCUGACUGGACAACUCAGCUCCAUAAUGUGUCAGUUAACAAACUGUUGACAAGGACCAUUUGAGGAAGAAAUAUGAAUUCCAGUUGUUGUCUGAAAAACUCCCAUUGAUACUUCUGGUAAGAUUAAGAACGUGCCAGCAUUAAAACUUGCAGACUGAGGUGAACAGCAUGGAGGAAAACUCUGAUGACGAUAGUGGAACCCUCUAUAAAGAAAAAGCUGUUAUCACCAAUUCCACGGUACAAUGGAUGACACGGUGUGGAAAAACCAAAACAAACAUGGACCUCCUUGGCUGUGAGUCAAAAGUGAUUUAGAAUUGGAUUCUGAACACAAAGGGGUUUUAGGAACAUGCUACCAAUUUGUUUUGCUUCUAUUUCCCCCAUUUUUUAUGAGUGUGUAAGAACAAUGUGAUAAAAAUGUGAACAAAUAAGUCUAAGAGAGCUCUUCAAGUAGGUAUAAAAGAAAAAAUAUAAGUGACAAGAAAGCCUUGUGCCAUAGUUUAAUUGGUAGUGAUUUUUUCUUUCUUUGGGCUACAGAAAAUAGGAAUAAAUUGACGUUGAAUCUCACAAACAUAAUGUUGACUGAUAGAAGUCAUAAACAAAAGAUGAUAGGAUGUAUGAUGCUGCUUUCAUAAAGUUCAAGAAAGCAAGUAAAACCAAGAUGGAU
RNAcentral lists this long non-coding RNA (1798 nucleotides) under Papio anubis (olive baboon). RNAcentral describes it as "lncRNA (ENSPANG00000041777.1)". The record is from RNAcentral. Lineage: Eukaryota; Metazoa; Chordata; Mammalia; Primates; Cercopithecidae.